GACGAACGCUGGCGGCGUGCUUAACACAUGCAAGUCGAACGGUAAGGCCCUUCGGGGUACACGAGUGGCGAACGGGUGAGUAACACGUGGGUGAUCUGCCCUGCACUUCGGGAUAAGCCUGGGAAACUGGGUCUAAUACCGGAUAGGACCACGGCCUGCAUGGGUUGUGGUGGAAAGCUUUUGCGGUGUGGGAUGGGCCCGCGGCCUAUCAGCUUGUUGGUGGGGUGAUGGCCUACCAAGGCGACGACGGGUAGCCGGCCUGAGAGGGGGUCCGGCCACACUGGGACUGAGAUACGGCCCAGACUCCUACGGGAGGCAGCAGUGGGGAAUAUUGCACAAUGGGCGAAAGCCUGAUGCAGCGACGCCGCGUGGGGGAUGACGGCCUUCGGGUUGUAAACCUCUUUCACCAGGGACGAAGCGCAAGUGACGGUACCUGGAGAAGAAGCACCGGCCAACUACGUGCCAGCAGCCGCCGUAA
This 478-nucleotide ribosomal RNA is filed under the name uncultured bacterium. RNAcentral describes it as "partial 16S ribosomal RNA". It matches the Rfam family "Bacterial small subunit ribosomal RNA", at positions 28 to 523 of the family's 1533-position model. The record is from RNAcentral.